CCCCUGCCCCCACUCGACUAUCCAGGAGAACAGUAAUAGUCUGAAGGCUGGAGGAUCGUCACCUACUCCUGCGAAACUGGUUAUCUGCUGGUCGGAGAAGCGGGAAGGAACUGAGAUGAGACCAGACUCAGCAGCCCUCCAGUGAGCCCAGGAGACCACCGAGGGACACCCACGCACCUCAUGGCUUGGAGGACGCAUGGAGAUGGUGGACUCUUGCAGGGCAGGAGACAGAGACGAGACCACUGAGCUGAGGAGACCAGUCAGGCCUUCAAGAUGCUGCCUAAAUGCUGGGGCAGACCAGAUGAGACGAGUCCUGUUGGGGAGAAGAUGGAGGGAGAUUAAUUGAGCCAAGGAAGGAGAGAGAGAGAGAGAGAGAGAGAGAGAGAGAGAGAGAGAGAGAGAGAGAGAGAGAGAGAGAGAGAGAGAGAGAGAGAGAGAGA
Molecule: long non-coding RNA, 440 nt
Organism: Eriocheir sinensis (Chinese mitten crab)
Lineage: Eukaryota; Metazoa; Arthropoda; Malacostraca; Decapoda; Varunidae
Exons: 3
Source: RefSeq, a predicted model, not a curated record